RNAcentral lists this ribosomal RNA (1017 nucleotides) under Bacillus sp. (in: firmicutes). Its description in RNAcentral is "bacterial SSU rRNA". It matches the Rfam family "Bacterial small subunit ribosomal RNA", at positions 37 to 1041 of the family's 1533-position model. Lineage: Bacteria; Bacillati; Bacillota; Bacilli; Caryophanales; Bacillaceae. The record is from RNAcentral.
GGGCGGGGUGCUAUAAUGCAAGUCGAGCGAACCGACGGGAGCUUGCUCCCUUAGGUUAGCGGCGGACGGGUGAGUAACACGUGGGUAACCUGCCUGUAAGACUGGGAUAACUCCGGGAAACCGGGGCUAAUACCGGAUGCUUGAUUGAACCGCAUGGUUCAAUUAUAAAAGGUGGCUUUUAGCUACCACUUACAGAUGGACCCGCGGCGCAUUAGCUAGUUGGUGAGGUAACGGCUCACCAAGGCGACGAUGCGUAGCCGACCUGAGAGGGUGAUCGGCCACACUGGGACUGAGACACGGCCCAGACUCCUACGGGAGGCAGCAGUAGGGAAUCUUCCGCAAUGGACGAAAGUCUGACGGAGCAACGCCGCGUGAGUGAUGAAGGUUUUCGGAUCGUAAAACUCUGUUGUUAGGGAAGAACAAGUACCGUUCGAACAGGGCGGUGCCUUGACGGUACCUAACCAGAAAGCCACGGCUAACUACGUGCCAGCAGCCGCGGUAAUACGUAGGUGGCAAGCGUUGUCCGGAAUUAUUGGGCGUAAAGCGCGCGCAGGCGGUUUCUUAAGUCUGAUGUGAAAGCCCCCGGCUCAACCGGGGAGGGUCAUUGGAAACUGGGGAACUUGAGUGCAGAAGAGGAGAGUGGAAUUCCACGUGUAGCGGUGAAAUGCGUAGAGAUGUGGAGGAACACCAGUGGCGAAGGCGACUCUCUGGUCUGUAACUGACGCUGAGGCGCGAAAGCGUGGGGAGCGAACAGGAUUAGAUACCCUGGUAGUCCACGCCGUAAACGAUGAGUGCUAAGUGUUAGAGGGUUUCCGCCCUUUAGUGCUGCAGCAAACGCAUUAAGCACUCCGCCUGGGGAGUACGGUCGCAAGACUGAAACUCAAAGGAAUUGACGGGGGCCCGCACAAGCGGUGGAGCAUGUGGUUUAAUUCGAAGCAACGCGAAGAACCUUACCAGGUCUUGACUCCUCUGACCCCCUAGAGAUAGGGCUCCCCUUCGGGGCAGAGUGACAGGGGU